This 61-nucleotide ribosomal RNA is filed under the name Bipolaris maydis (southern corn leaf blight pathogen). RNAcentral's name for it is "partial 28S ribosomal RNA". Lineage: Eukaryota; Fungi; Ascomycota; Dothideomycetes; Pleosporales; Pleosporaceae. The record is from RNAcentral.
UUGACCUCGGAUCAGGUAGGGAUACCCGCUGAACUUAAGCAUAUCAAUAAGGCGGAGGAAA